RNAcentral lists this ribosomal RNA (254 nucleotides) under uncultured bacterium. Its description in RNAcentral is "partial 16S ribosomal RNA". It matches the Rfam family "Bacterial small subunit ribosomal RNA", at positions 524 to 776 of the family's 1533-position model. The record is from RNAcentral.
UACGUAGGGUGCAAGCGUUAAUCGGAAUUACUGGGCGUAAAGCGUGCGCAGGCGGUUUUGUAAGUCUGUCGUGAAAUCCCUGGGCUCAACCUGGGAAUUGCGAUGGAGACUGCAAGGCUAGAAUCUGGCAGAGGGGGGUAGAAUUCCACGUGUAGCAGUGAAAUGCGUAGAGAUGUGGAGGAACACCGAUGGCGAAGGCAGCCCCCCUGGGUCAAGAUUGACGCUCAUGCACGAAAGCGUGGGGAGCAAACAGG